CUGAAAAGCUAAGACCAUUUUAUCGGAAGCUAAAAAAUGCAACAUAUUGAUCAAAACAGUUAAUACUCUUUGCCUAAAAUCCAUAUAUUACAAGCAAUUUUUUGGAGAACCAACAAUCUGAAUCAUUCUUGCCUUUCCCUCUAAAUAGAAACAAGUAUCUUAAGAUACAAAGGAUUGGAGUAAUAUCAGCCAAAAACCACCUUAAGAACAAAUGAAACCAAGGUCAUUCUAUUGAGAACCUUUCAUCUUUGAGAUAUCUUCGAGCAAAAAUCUAGAUUCAGCAGCAAAAUCAACUGGGGCAACAGCCCUUACUGUUAUUCUUUGCCUCUUUUCAUUAUUGUACUCAUUCUGAGCAACACUGACCCUGAAAAGAUGAGGAUUCCAAGUGGCUUCUUUUAAUUUCAGUUGGUAUGAACUCCCUUCUUCCUCUGACUUCAGUUUAUCAAGUUCAUCAGCAGAGCAACCAAUGAUCUUCUCUGCUUCUUCAUUGAAUGCAGAAACCCAACCUUCACCACUUGCAUCUGAAACUUUAACCACCAUAAUAUACCUUAAACUACACUCUGCAUCAUUCUUUUGGCAUCCUUCACACCAAUAUCCACCUCCAACACCUUCAGUCACCUUCUUAUUGCAAGCCUUGCAAGCCCGGUACCACAUACUCUGGUCAGGCUUGAUGAAACUUAUAUAUGCUCUAAUGCUGAAAAAUGCAGGCUUGUCACCACCUAAGGAGGGAUUGCUUGUCAUAUGAGAGAUGGAGACUCGGUCAGAGUACAUAGACCUUCCUCCACUCUUGGUUGAAGGGCUCAAACCAGAGCCUACUGAGGCCAUCGAAGUCUCUUUACCUUCAGAAUCAUACCAGCAUCUCAGUUUCUUUGACUCAGGAAUGUCUGGAUUGAUCUGUACAAUGCUUCUACCCAACGUAGACAAAGAUACACCUUGAAAAUCUCCAACUUUAAGAGAUUUGAUUGCAACUACAGGUGACUUAUCAGCAAGGUCAAGUAAUUCCUGCCCCAAAUCAGUCGCAAGGUCAUUCCAUAAUGAGACCACAACUGUCUUCCUCGUCUCAUCUGCAAUAGUUAUGUCACGCUUUGGGACAAUCUCAUUGUUGCUCUUUCUUCGGAUGCUCAUUGUUGGAGAAACACUUUGAACGAUUCCAACAACAUCAACAAGCUCAGUUGAAUUAACACAUGGACCCAAUUGAUCAAUUGGAACAAAAUUGAAUUUUGUUUCAGGGAUAAAAGCUGCUUCAUUACUUGCCUCUUCUACUUCAGAAUUCUCAUUUAAAGUCAUUUCAUAAUCAUUUUGCACUGUUCUGAACUGCUUAUUAGCAACUCUAAGAGUUCCCUUUGAUAUGUAAUAAACCUUGCCCAACUGAAAUUUAUCAUAAAAUUUCCUUGCAGCCUCAUUGAACAUUGUCGCUUGUAUCUGUGUACCAUCUUCAUCUGUCAACUCCACAUUGAAAACACACCCUUCUCCUCUUGCAUUCUUGUAAGCACGCAUAUUACCUUUGCUUGUGACUCGGACCUUGAUGGUCCAAUUCCCUUGGUAAGGAUUCAAGGAAACGAGGGGGUGAACUCUUCUUGUCAUGGCCAUUCGUGCUGUAGGAGCCAUAUUUCUAUGCUGUUCAUUUACUAUUUGAGCGGCAGAUUUUGCAACCAUUUCUUGCUUUGGCUUCAAAAGAAUGCCACUUGAUUCUUUUUUAACUUCACCCUUGAUCUCAUGUUCUUGCUUUGGCUUCAAUAUUAUGCCUGAUUCUUCCUUUUUCUCACCCAAUUCCUCAUUUUUCUCAUCUUUGAUCUCCAUUGCAAGUGCAGGAGAAACCACUUCACAUUUUGUUAUGAUCAAAUAAUUCUCUGAUUUACUGGGAAUUUCAUUGACUGUAUAAUCAAGAAUACGAAUAAGACCCAAGUUUUGAAUGUUUCCAGAGAUGAUCUCAGAAGACAGACGGGAGUUGAAAAUUGCUUUUAUCUUCAUCUUUCCAUCAUUAGCAUCAAACCCGUAAGACUUUCCUUUAGGCUCAAGCUUGGUGAUCUGAACGAUGAUCUCAGGGAUAUCAGUGAGUGAAUCUGGUUUGGGGUUUGAAAGCAAGGCGGCUAUAGCAUCUGGGCUCACCCAUUGACCCAUCUCUCUCUCUGUGAUUUGGGAUUUUUUGGUAUUGGAAGACGGAGAUUGGAGGAGGAUGGGGCGUUUGUAUAGAGAGAGUGUGGCGCGAUAUUAGAGUCGAGUGAAUUUGUUU
This 2233-nucleotide unclassified non-coding RNA is filed under the name Hevea brasiliensis (rubber tree). The record is from RNAcentral. Lineage: Eukaryota; Viridiplantae; Streptophyta; Magnoliopsida; Malpighiales; Euphorbiaceae.